AAUAAGGUGGCUGAGGAAAUAAAGGCGGUAAAUUGUAAAUUUAUUAACAAGUAAAAAAACUUUCUUAUUG
This 70-nucleotide transfer RNA is filed under the name Enoplolambrus validus. Its description in RNAcentral is "tRNA-Tyr". Lineage: Eukaryota; Metazoa; Arthropoda; Malacostraca; Decapoda; Parthenopidae. The record is from RNAcentral.